Molecule: ribosomal RNA, 468 nt
Filed under: uncultured bacterium
Lineage: Bacteria
Description: partial 16S ribosomal RNA
Rfam family: Bacterial small subunit ribosomal RNA
Source: RNAcentral
GACGAACGCUGGCGGCGUGCCUAAUACAUGCAAGUCGAACGGAAAGACCCGGCUCUUGUGGGGUGCUCGAGUGGCGAACGGGUGAGUAACACGCGAGUAACCUGUCCCUGACUGUGGGGUAACUCCUGGAAACUCGGGCUAUUAUCGGAUAGGAGCUUUUGCUGCAUGGUGGUGGUUGGAGAGUUUCGGCGGUUGGGGAUGGACUGGCAGCUUAUCAGCUUGUUUGUGGGGUAGUGGCUGACCAAGGCUUUGACGGGUAGGCGGCCUGGGAGCGUGACCGGGCACCAUGGGACUGAGAGAGGGCCCAGAAUCGAACGGGACGCAACAGGGGGGAAUAUUACACAACGGGCGGAAGCCUGAUGCGGCAGCGCUGCGUGCGGGAUGACGGGCUUCGGGUUGUGAACAGCUUUCGCCUGUGACGAAGCGUGCGUGACGGUAAUGAGUAAAGAAGCACCGGCUAACUACGUG